GAAAGCAAAGAAGGGCAUAUGGAGGAUGCCUAGGCUCUCGAAGGCGAAGAAGGACGUGAUAAGCUGCGAAAAGCUCCGGGGAGUGGCAAAUACACCGAGAUCCGGAGAUGUCCGAAUGGGGCAACCCGUCGAGGCUCGACCUCGACACACGCGAACGCGUGGGCGAACGUGGGGAACUGAAACAUCUAAGUACCCAUAGGAAGAGAAAAUAAACAAUGAUUCCGCAAGUAGUGGCGAGCGAACGCGGAAGAGCCCAAACCGCAGGCGUAGCAAUGCGCCGUGCGGGGUUAUAGGACCGGCGCCACGAAGAACUGAAAGCUAGCCGAACCGACUGGAAAGUCGGGCCGCAGCGGGUGACAGCCCCGUAGGCGAAAGCGUUCAGCGAUUCCAGCCGGCACCUGAGUAACCCGGAGCACGAGGAAUUCCGGGCGAAUUGGCGGGGACCAUCCCGUAAGGCUAAAUACUAACGAGAGACCGAUAGCGAACCAGUACCGUGAGGGAAAGGUGAAAAGAACCUCGAACAGAGGAGUGCAACAGACCCUGAAACCAUAUGCCUACAAGCGGUCGGAGCGGCUCAGUGCCGUGACGGCGUGCCUUUUGCAUAAUGAACCUACGAGUCACCGUCGUUGGCAAGGUUAAGGACAAUGAUGUCCGGAGCCGAAGCGAAAGCGAGUCCGAAGAGGGCGCCGGAGUCAGCGGAGGUGGACGCGAAACCAAGUGAUCUACCCUUGGGCAGGUUGAAGGACAGGUAAAACUGUCUGGAGGACCGAACCGGUAAGCGUUGAAAAGCUUUCGGAUGACCUGAGGGUAGGAGUGAAAGGCCAAUCAAACUUGGAGAUAGCUCGUACUCCCCGAAAUGUAUUUAGGUGCAGCCUCGGAGAGAAUCUGACGGAGGUAGAGCGACUGAUAGGAUGCGAGGGCUUCACCGCCUAUCAAGUCCUGACAAACUCCGAAUGCCGUCAGACAUAUCCGGGAGUAAGGGCGCGGGUGCUAAGGUCCGCGUCCGAGAGAGGAACAACUCAGACCAUCGGCUAAGGUCCCGAAAUCCGGGCUAAGUUGAAGACAAUAACGAGGUGGGAUUGCAUAGACAGCUAGGAUGUUGGCUUGGAAGCAGCCAUUCAUUUAAAGAGUGCGUAACAGCUCACUAGUCGAGUGAUCCCGCGUGGAUAAUAAUCGGGCAUAAGUCCGGUACCGAAGCCAUGGAAUCACGCCUAGGGCGUGAUUGGUAGGGGAGCAUUCCGUACGGCGGCGAAGGUCGGUGGCGAUGCCGGCUGGAGCGUACGGAAAAGCAAAUGUAGGUAUAAGUAACGAUAAUGGAGGCGAGAAACCUCCACGCCGAAAGACCAAGGUUUCCUGAUCAACGCUAAUCGGAUCAGGGUAAGUCGGGACCUAAGGGGCAGCCGCGAGGCGGACCCGAUGGAAGAAACGGUAAAGAUUCCGUUACUGUCGCCGGGAGUGAAGCGGGGACGGAGGAGUGACACCGCCGCGGACUGACGGAAUAGUCCGUUGAAGAGUGUAGGUAUUCGGAGGCCAGGCAAAUCCGGUCUCCGAGCUGAACUUGACAGUACUGCGAGCCUUCGGGCAAGCAGACAGCGCGGGUAAUCAGACUCCCAAGAAAAUCCGCUAAACAUAUGUCGGCGACACCCGUACCGCAAACGGACACACGUGGUCGGGUAGAACAUACUAAGGCGCUCGAGAGAUUCACCGUUAAGGAACUAGGCAAAUUGACCUCGUAACUUCGGGAUAAGGGGUCCCACAGCGAUGUGGGCGCAGAGAAUAGGUCCAGGCAACUGUUUAACAAAAACACAGGGCUGUGCGAAAUUUAAAGAUGAAGUAUACAGCCUGACACCUGCCCGGUGCCGGAAGGUUAAGAGGAGAGCUCAUCGCAAGAGAAGGCUUGAAUUGAAGCCCCGGUAAACGGCGGCCGUAACUAUAACGGUCCUAAGGUAGCGAAAUUCCUUGUCGGGUAAGUUCCGACCUGCACGAAUGGUGUAAUGAUCUGGACGCUGUCUCAACGGUGAGCUCGGUGAAAUUGUAGUAUCGGUGAAGAUGCCGAUUACCCGCAACGGGACGAAAAGACCCCGUGAACCUUUACUGCAACUUAGCAUUGCGUUUGGGCAUUUGAUGUGUAGGAUAGUCCGGAGGCUAUGAAUCGGCGACGCCAGUCGUCGUGGAGCCGCUGUUGAAAUA
RNAcentral lists this ribosomal RNA (2190 nucleotides) under human gut metagenome. Its description in RNAcentral is "bacterial LSU rRNA". It matches the Rfam family "Bacterial large subunit ribosomal RNA", at positions 1 to 2199 of the family's 2925-position model. The record is from RNAcentral.